Molecule: long non-coding RNA, 580 nt
Filed under: Homo sapiens (human)
Lineage: Eukaryota; Metazoa; Chordata; Mammalia; Primates; Hominidae
Description: non-protein coding MIR22HG:49
Rfam family: mir-22 microRNA precursor family (bases 192-275)
Source: RNAcentral
AAGAGACAGCGCCGCCGGCCGUGGGGAGCGGACGCAGUGAUUUGCUCCCCCUCGUGCAGCAACCCCCACACCCAGCACCAGGCCCCCAGAACUCUCCUUCCAGCUGAACUCCCUGGGAACAAGUCAGUUGGGCUGAUCACUGAACUCACAUUUCUGGACCUGAGGAGCCUGUUCCUCUCACGCCCUCACCUGGCUGAGCCGCAGUAGUUCUUCAGUGGCAAGCUUUAUGUCCUGACCCAGCUAAAGCUGCCAGUUGAAGAACUGUUGCCCUCUGCCCCUGGCUUCGAGGAGGAGGAGGAGCUGCUUUCCCCAUCAUCUGGAAGGUGACAGAAAUGGGCUGGGAAGGUCCGAACAGCAGGGUGGAUGAUACGUUUUGGGCAAGUUGGAGAGCCUUUGCCCAGAUUGGCCCAGCAAGGAGCGGUUUUAGAUUAGAGACACUGGCUGGAUUGAGGAGUAGAAGGCUCAAACAACCCAAGGAAGCUGUGUCUGUUCGAUUUGGUGGGAGGAGAUGUGCAGGGAGCUGUAUCUUGUCCUCCGCUUGUGAAAAACUCAAGGAUGUGGAGAAGAGUAGACCGUGGAA